GAGGAUGUAGCUCAGAGGUACAGUGCUUGCCUAGCAUGCAUGAGGCACUGGGUUCAAUCCCCAGUAUUAACA
This 72-nucleotide transfer RNA is filed under the name Marmota marmota marmota (Alpine marmot). It matches the Rfam family "tRNA". Rfam says of the family: Transfer RNA (tRNA) molecules are approximately 80 nucleotides in length. Their secondary structure includes four short double-helical elements and three loops (D, anti-codon, and T loops). Lineage: Eukaryota; Metazoa; Chordata; Mammalia; Rodentia; Sciuridae. The record is from Rfam by way of RNAcentral. RNAcentral also lists the same sequence under 1 other name.